This 469-nucleotide ribosomal RNA is filed under the name uncultured Glomus. RNAcentral describes it as "SSU rRNA". It matches the Rfam family "Eukaryotic small subunit ribosomal RNA", at positions 569 to 1041 of the family's 1831-position model. The record is from RNAcentral. Lineage: Eukaryota; Fungi; Glomeromycota; Glomeromycetes; Glomerales; Glomeraceae.
AGCAGCCGCGGUAAUUCCAGCUCCAAUAGCGUAUAUUAAAGUUGUUGCAGUUAAAAAGCUCGUAGUUGAAUUUCGGAAUUAAUGGAUCGGUCAUGCCACUCGGUGUGUACUGGUUUGAUUGGUUCUCACCUUCUAAGGAACCGUGAUGUCAUUAAUUUGGUGUCGCGGGGAAUUAGGACUGUUACCUUGAAAAAAUUAGAGUGUUUAAAGCAAGCUCACGCUUGAAUACAUUAGCAUGGAAUAAUGAAAUAGGACAUUGUAUUCUAUUUUGUUGGUUUCUAGGAUCGAUGUAAUGAUUAAUAGGGAUAGUUGGGGGCAUUAGUAUUCAAUUGUCAGAGGUGAAAUUCUUGGAUUUAUUGAAGACUAACUACUACGAAAGCAUUUGCCAAGGAUGUUUUCAUUAAUCAAGAACGAAAGUUAGGGGACCGAAGACGAUCAGAUACCGUCGUAGUCUUAACCAUAAACUAUG